CGUGCUUAACACAUGCAAGUCGAACGGGAUUAGUUGAUUGAGAGCUCGGCAGGAUAUCGAUAAUCGAGUGGCGGACGGUGAGUAACGCGUGAGCAACCUGUCCCAGACAGGGGGAUAACACUUGGAAACAGGUGCUAAUACCGCAUAAGACCACGGGAUCACAUGGUUCUGGGGUAAAAGGAGCAAUCCGGUUUGGGGUGGGCUCGCGUCCGAUUAGCCAGUUGGCGGGGUAACGGCCCACCAAAGCGACGAUCGGUAGCCGACCUGAGAGGGUGAACGGCCACAUUGGAACUGAGAGACGGUCCAAACUCCUACGGGAGGCAGCAGUGGGGAAUAUUGGGCAAUGGGCGAAAGCCUGAACCCCAGCAACGCCGCGUGAGUGAAGAAGGCCUUCGGGUUGUAAAGCUCUGUUAUAGUUGACGAAGGAAGUGACGGUAGGCUAUAAGGAAGCCCCGGCUAACUACGUGCCAGCAGCAGC
RNAcentral lists this ribosomal RNA (478 nucleotides) under uncultured bacterium. RNAcentral's name for it is "bacterial SSU rRNA". It matches the Rfam family "Bacterial small subunit ribosomal RNA", at positions 43 to 518 of the family's 1533-position model. The record is from RNAcentral.